AGAACGAACGCUGGCGGCAGGCUUAACACAUGCAAGUCGAACGCAUCCGCAAGGGUGAGUGGCAGACGGGUGAGUAACACGUGGGAACAUACCCUUCGGUACGGAACAACUUGGGGAAACUCGAGCUAAAUACCGUAUACGUCCUGGCGGAGAAAGAUUGAUCGCCGAAGGAUUGGCCCGCGUUCGAUUAGCUAGUUGGUGAGGUAACGGCUCACCAAGGCGACGAUCGAUAGCUGGUCUGAGAGGAUGGCCAGCCACAUUGGGACUGAGACACGGCCCAAACUCCUACGGGAGGCAGCAGUGGGGAAUAUUGGACAAUGGGCGCAAGCCUGAUCCAGCCAUGCCGCGUGAGUGAUGAAGGCCUUAGGGUUGUAAAGCUCUUUCGCACGCGACGAUAAUGACGGUAGCGUGAGAAGAAGCCCCGGCUAACUUCGUGCCAGCAGCCGC
RNAcentral lists this ribosomal RNA (447 nucleotides) under uncultured bacterium. Its description in RNAcentral is "SSU rRNA". It matches the Rfam family "Bacterial small subunit ribosomal RNA", at positions 26 to 518 of the family's 1533-position model. The record is from RNAcentral.